Molecule: ribosomal RNA, 260 nt
Filed under: uncultured prokaryote
Description: partial 16S ribosomal RNA
Rfam family: Bacterial small subunit ribosomal RNA
Source: RNAcentral
UACGUAGGGGCGAGCGUUGUCCGGAAUUACUGGGCGUAAAGGGAGCGCAGACGGAACUGCAAGUCUGAUGUGAAAGCCCGUGGCUCAACCGCGGGACUGCAUCGGAUACUGUAGAUCUGGAGUGCCGGAGGGGCAAGCGGAAUUCCUGGUGUAGCGGUGAAAUGCGUAGAUAUCAGGAGGAACACCGGCGGCGAAGGCGGCUUGCUGGACGGCAACUGACGUUGAGGCUCGAAAGCGUGGGGAGCGAACAGGAUUAGAUA